UAUGAAGACUAUUUAUUUAUUUAUUUAUUUUCUUUUUUAACUUUAAGUGCCUUUUUUUCAGUCAUAUGAAGACUCUUAAUCAGUUCUGUGGAGAGGCCCACAAGAGGAGAAACUGAGGCCUCCAACAACAUCCAGCACCAACUUGCCAGCAAUGAUUGCAAAUACAGAAAAGCCACUUGAAACACGGCAAGAAGGCGGCUGUCUACAGGCCAGGAAGAGAGCGCUCAACAGAUACUAACCCUGAUGGCAUCUUAAUCUUGGAUUUCUGGCCUCUAGAACUGUGAGAAAAUAAAUUUCUGUUUUUAC
This 306-nucleotide long non-coding RNA is filed under the name Mustela putorius furo (domestic ferret). RNAcentral's name for it is "lncRNA (ENSMPUG00000029688.1)". The record is from RNAcentral. Lineage: Eukaryota; Metazoa; Chordata; Mammalia; Carnivora; Mustelidae.